This 882-nucleotide ribosomal RNA is filed under the name Streptomyces chartreusis. Its description in RNAcentral is "bacterial SSU rRNA". It matches the Rfam family "Bacterial small subunit ribosomal RNA", at positions 54 to 957 of the family's 1533-position model. The record is from RNAcentral. Lineage: Bacteria; Bacillati; Actinomycetota; Actinomycetes; Kitasatosporales; Streptomycetaceae.
CAUGCAAGUCGAACGAUGAACCACUUCGGUGGGGAUUAGUGGCGAACGGGUGAGUAACACGUGGGCAAUCUGCCCUUCACUCUGGGACAAGCCCUGGAAACGGGGUCUAAUACCGGAUAACACUCCUGUCCUCCUGGACGGGGGUUAAAAGCUCCGGCGGUGAAGGAUGAGCCCGCGGCCUAUCAGCUUGUUGGUGAGGUAAUGGCUCACCAAGGCGACGACGGGUAGCCGGCCUGAGAGGGCGACCGGCCACACUGGGACUGAGACACGGCCCAGACUCCUACGGGAGGCAGCAGUGGGGAAUAUUGCACAAUGGGCGAAAGCCUGAUGCAGCGACGCCGCGUGAGGGAUGACGGCCUUCGGGUUGUAAACCUCUUUCAGCAGGGAAGAAGCGAAAGUGACGGUACCUGCAGAAGAAGCGCCGGCUAACUACGUGCCAGCAGCCGCGGUAAUACGUAGGGCGCAAGCGUUGUCCGGAAUUAUUGGGCGUAAAGAGCUCGUACGCGGCUUGUCACGUCGGGUGUGAAAGCCCGGGGCUUAACCCCGGGUCUGCAUUCGAUACGGGCUAGCUAGAGUGUGGUAGGGGAGAUCGGAAUUCCUGGUGUAGCGGUGAAAUGCGCAGAUAUCAGGAGGAACACCGGUGGCGAAGGCGGAUCUCUGGGCCAUUACUGACGCUGAGGAGCGAAAGCGUGGGGAGCGAACAGGAUUAGAUACCCUGGGAGUCCACGCCGUAAACGGUGGGAACUAUGUGUUGGCGACAUUCCACGUCGUCUGUGCCGCAGCUAACGCAUUAAGUUCUCCGCCUGGGGAGUACGGCCGCAAGGCUAAACUCAAAGGAUUGACGGGGGCCCGCCAAACAGCGACAUGUGGCUUAUUCGACGC